UUAUCCCUUCUGAUGACGUACCAUGACGUCUGACGAGUAUACACUUGCAGGGCAAGGGAGGAAGGAAUGAUUUUUAAAUGGACCGCCCUUGACCGGAAAUUCGUCACUCGUUCAUUCCGCAAUGAUUGUUUUCAGCCACUGGUAGCUUGUAGAUGCUUUAUAUGCUCUACAGUCAAUUAUGAUUGCAUGUCUACUUAUAGUAACUAUAUAAUUAUUAAUAUACGCCUACUGUAUGAUAGCUAGAAAAUGAAUUAGCUAACGUUAUCCUGCCUAGCUGGAACUUCUGAAGGAAAAUGUGUUAUUUCUACAAUUUCCAAAAGCUAACCAAAUUUCAAAGCUAACCAAUUUCCAAAAGCUAACCAAACCGAAACCAUAAUUACUUUUAUGAGACCUGGUUGUGCCGUCAUGUGCAUUAGAAGCACCAUUUCUAACCUGUUUACUUACACUUGUAUGUUGACUUAUCCAUAUUGACGUUGAGGUUUUACGUUUCGGUUGACUUUUCUUAGCGGAUGUACAAUCAACGCGAAUUAAAUUAUGGGGGGGUUUCAAGGCCCGAAGUGAACAUAAUUGUACACUUCCCUUGUUUGGACCGACGUCCAAUAUGGUGACGGGGAUUCCCACAAGGGCAUAAGGCGAGGGUGCAGAAUGCCGUGUAUGAAGGAUUGACAGGGGUGUAGAGAUGAGCAAUGCCAGUGGAAUUUGGGGACACAGUGGAAUUUAGCUCCAAAAAGGUUGAGCGAGAUCUUUUGAGUUCUCUGACAGCACUCCAGCCGCUUCUCCAUCUCUACCGCUACCUCUGCUUGUAAUUUUAUGACUUUUAUGUUAAGCUGGAGGAGUGUAAAUGUGCCAGCUUGGAUGAGGUUACUAAAGCACAGAGUGCCUCCUAUGCAUGGUAUGACACACUUAAAUUUCAGAUCACUGCAAGCUCAGUAAAGAAUGUUCCUGUGCGCACCUCAACAAAUCCUGACCACUUUGUGCAGGAGCAUCUCUUCCCCAGGUUCCAUGGAAACUCAGAAACCACAUAUGGCAAGAAAAACGAGCAGGUGGCCUACACAUGGAUGGAGAGCUGUGGGUUUAGUUUGGAGAGUAGAGGCACAGUAGUGUGUCAAUGAGCCAUGUCUUUCUGCAAGCCCACAGAUGGAGUGUUAAACUCUCAAGAACUUCUAGAAAUUAAAAUGUCCUGUUCUGAGUGAAGUGUGAGUCUCUGGCAAACUCCUCGACGUGAAGCUGGUGGAUGGAGUUCCUCAGCGGCAACAUAAUGGAGCCUGUGGGUACUACAUGCAGGAGCAAUUGGGCAUGUUCUGCACAGGACUGGAGAUAUGCAAACUGUUGUCUGGGCUCUGUCCGAGGUGGUUGUUAUUGAUGUGCCUAUUGAUGUGAAGUUCUGUGCUGAUGUUAUCCCUAAACUGAAGGCAUUCUAUUUCCUACAUAUGCUGCCAAGGGUAGUAUAUGAGUUCCAGUUAGGCAGACUUGUGUGCUCAAAAUAUGUUAAAUCUGUGGUUUCUAGGCUAAUACUUUGUUUUGAAAUAGUUCUGAUAUUUUGUGCCUUGUAAAGAUCUCUCUGUUAGCUCUACCUUAUUAUCUAAGCAUAACUCUUGGUGUUUUUUGUUGUCUUGCACAGUUCUCUUCAUAUGCACAUUUACCUGAUUUAUAUUUGCAUAAUUCUUCUUGGUGUUUUUUAUGUCUUGCCUUGUACAGCUCUCUUCAUACAUGUUUAUCUAAUGCCUAAGGAUAACUCCUUAUGAUUUAUGAAUAUAUUAAUUGUACCUUGUAUAGCUCUUUAGUUUCAUUUGGCACUUCAUUAACUUAUCUAAGCAUACCAUAACGCAUCUUGCACUUGAGAAAUUAUGGCUUUAAUAAAAACAUGAAAUUCCA
This is a long non-coding RNA of Oncorhynchus tshawytscha (Chinook salmon), 1875 nucleotides long. RefSeq lists it as uncharacterized. The transcript is spliced from 2 exons. The record is from RefSeq and is a predicted model, not a curated record. NCBI's taxonomy places the organism in Eukaryota, Metazoa, Chordata, Actinopteri, Salmoniformes, Salmonidae.